GACGAACGCUGGCGGCGUGCUUAACACAUGCAAGUCGAACGGAGAGGCCCUGCUUUUGUGGGGUGCUCGAGUGGCGAACGGGUGAGUAACACGUGAGUAACCUGCCCUUGACUUUGGGAUAACUUCAGGAAACUGGGGCUAAUACCGGAUAGGAGCUCCUGCUGCAUGGUGGGGGUUGGAAAGUUUCGGCGGUUGGGGAUGGACUCGCGGCUUAUCAGCUUGUUGGUGGGGUAGUGGCUUACCAAGGCUUUGACGGGUAGCCGGCCUGAGAGGGUGACCGGCCACAUUGGGACUGAGAUACGACCCAGACUCCUACGGGAGGCAGCAGUGGGGAAUAUUGCACAAUGGGCGGAAGCCUGAUGCAGCAACGCCGCGUGCGGGAUGACGGCCUUCGGGUUGUAAACCGCUUUCGCCUGUGACGAAGCGUGAGUGACGGUAAUGGGUAAAGAAGCACCGGCUAACUACGUG
This 468-nucleotide ribosomal RNA is filed under the name uncultured bacterium. RNAcentral describes it as "partial 16S ribosomal RNA". It matches the Rfam family "Bacterial small subunit ribosomal RNA", at positions 28 to 507 of the family's 1533-position model. The record is from RNAcentral.